UGGGGAAUUUUCCGCAAUGGACGAAAGUCUGACGGAGCGACACCGCGUGGAGGACGAAGUUUUUCGGAAUGUAAACUCCUUUUGGCAGGGAUGAAAACAAUGACAGUACCUGCAGAAUAAGCAUCGGCUAACUACGUGCCAGCAGCCGCGGUAAUACGUAGGAUGCAAGCGUUGUUCGGAAUUACUGGGCGUAAAGAGUACGUAGGCGGCAAUGUAAGUCUGAUAUUAAAGACCGGAGCUCAACUUCGGGAGUGUAUUGGAAACUACAUAGCUAGAGGACAGUAGAGGAAGUCGGAAUUCUCAGUGUAGCGGUGAAAUGCGUAGAUAUUGGGAAGAACACCAGUUGCGAAAGCGGACUUCUGGGCUGUUACUGACGCUGAGGUACGAAAGUGUGGGGAGC
RNAcentral lists this ribosomal RNA (400 nucleotides) under uncultured bacterium. RNAcentral's name for it is "bacterial SSU rRNA". It matches the Rfam family "Bacterial small subunit ribosomal RNA", at positions 355 to 769 of the family's 1533-position model. The record is from RNAcentral.